AUUCAUCACUUAGUGACACAUAUUUAACCCAAGUACAUGUGCAAUAUUUAUUCAUGGCCUAGAAUAUUGUGACUGCCUUUAAACUAUGUCACUUAUACAACAUGUGAUUACAACACGAUUGAAUAAUUAUUUAUUUAUAGAAGGCACAUAGUACAAUAUUUUGCCUUGACAAACUUUGUCAAUUUGAUUUAUUCAUUAUACGGUCGUACUUAUACUAUAAUUUAUUGUCAGGAAUUAUUGAGCAACUAGAUCCACUAAUCAACAUUGUUACUGAUUAAAGAAGUCUACCAACUUAUAGACUGAUAAGCCACGUGCUCAUGGUGAUCUCUUAUCUGACCGGACACCCACUUGCUUAUCACCAACCAGGUGAUCAAAAGUAUGUCCAGUACUCCAAAAUUAUUUAGCAGCUUGCCGCUAUUAUCAUCAACCAGGUGAUCAAAAGUACGUCCAGCACUCCA
RNAcentral lists this long non-coding RNA (458 nucleotides) under Malus domestica (apple). RNAcentral describes it as "long non-coding RNA (MDOM_LNC006918)". The record is from RNAcentral. Lineage: Eukaryota; Viridiplantae; Streptophyta; Magnoliopsida; Rosales; Rosaceae.